AUGGGCUGCUCUAACCCAGAAGUGGUCACCUGCUCCCGCUCCCACCAGGGCUUCAAGCACCGGUUCUGCCUUAAAACAGAAAGCGGUGAGUGUGCCCGUGGCCUCGGCGAGCCGGCGGAGCGCGUGCACCCGAAAGCCAACCCUGCGGCCGCCGCAGCGGGCACGGCCGUGGCUUGGGGCUCCCAGGGUGGCCCCAGCCACGGUCGCCGCGGCCCUGACGGCGCUGUGUUGCCUUGCAGUGGUCCUGGGCAUCCCGCUGACCAGCGGCUGCGCCACCUCCCGCCACUGCCAGCAGCAGGAGCUGCCGGGGGUGCGGAUCCACUGCUGCGACACGGACCUGUGCAACGGCUCGCCCAGGGCGCCCCGGCCUCCCCGCGGCCUCGCCGGCCGCUGCCUCCUGCUCGCGCCCCUCCUGGCCGCCCUCCUCCUCUUCUGAGCGGCCCCGGGGCCGGGGGGCUGGCGCGAGCGCGGCGCGGCUCCCCCGCGCCCGGAGAGCCUCCUCCUCGCCCCUCUCCUCGAUCAAAGACGCCGAACCUUUGCGCUGCACAGGCCCCGCUCCCAGCGGCGUCCCCGGAGGUAGGACACGCGUGUCCGUGGCGGCGCGGGGGGCUGCACUGCCCGAUGCCACGUGCAGCCGCUCCAAAGCCACGUGCUGCGGCUUUGCUCUUCCGCAAUGGGGACCCGGCGCCGCUCGGCCCCUCCGGCUGCUCCCUUGCCAAACCCGAGAGGUGCCGAGCCCCCGCGGCCGGACCCGGGGUGCAGCGAGGGCCUGGCGGGUCCCCCAGUGGGUGCCACGGCGGGGACCCCGGCUCCUCCGGCCGAGCGAGGCUCUUCCCACGAGAGGGCAUCCUUGGUCCUCGCUGCGCAGCUCCCUCCUGCCCUGCAAGGCGGCAGCAGCCCGCGAGCGGCCGGGACUCCCAGCCGCGGCCUUCGUCCUCCUCCUCAUCCCAGGUGGGCUCGAAGGAGCUGCUGCCGCUUCCCAGCAGCGAAGAGACCACGGUCCGGGCAGCGCCGAGCCCCGGGCGACCCGCGGGCGACGCACCGAGACCGCGGUGUCCUGGGGAGAGGGGAGCUUCCCGGGCACUGCCCCGAUUUAAGAGCCCGAGCGGGAGCUUUAACGAAGCUCUAAUCACGUACGAAGCUGAUCCUAAGUGGUUUGCUCGAGGUCAUCGUGGGGGUUUGCAGGAGAGCUGGGAAUUAAAUGCAUAUGUCUCAAGAUCCAGCCGUGUGCUUUUAUCACCAGGGAAACAGCAUAAACCUCACUGGCGAGAAAUGAAUGAAAUAUUUUUAUUCCAAACUUUAUUUAGGUAA
RNAcentral lists this long non-coding RNA (1311 nucleotides) under Apteryx haastii (Great spotted kiwi). RNAcentral describes it as "lncRNA (ENSAHAG00000007852.1)". Lineage: Eukaryota; Metazoa; Chordata; Aves; Apterygiformes; Apterygidae. The record is from RNAcentral.